This 513-nucleotide ribosomal RNA is filed under the name Listeria monocytogenes. RNAcentral's name for it is "partial 23S ribosomal RNA". It matches the Rfam family "Bacterial large subunit ribosomal RNA", at positions 683 to 1193 of the family's 2925-position model. Lineage: Bacteria; Bacillati; Bacillota; Bacilli; Caryophanales; Listeriaceae. The record is from RNAcentral.
CUGAAUAGGGCGCAUAAGUAACAGGUCGUAGACCCGAAACCAGGUGAUCUACCCAUGUCCAGGAUGAAGGUAAGGUAAUACUUACUGGAGGUCCGAACCCACGCACGUUGAAAAGUGCGGGGAUGAGGUGUGGGUAGCGGAGAAAUUCCAAUCGAACUUGGAGAUAGCUGGUUCUCUCCGAAAUAGCUUUAGGGCUAGCCUCGAGGUAAAGAGUCAUGGAGGUAGAGCACUGUUUGGACUAGGGGCCCUUCUCGGGUUACCGAAUUCAGAUAAACUCCGAAUGCCAUGUACUUAUACUCGGGAGUCAGACUGCGAGUGAUAAGAUCCGUAGUCGAAAGGGAAACAGCCCAGACCACCAGUUAAGGUCCCCAAAUAUAUGUUAAGUGGAAAAGGAUGUGGGGUUGCUUAGACAACCAGGAUGUUGGCUUAGAAGCAGCCACCAUUGAAAGAGUGCGUAAUAGCUCACUGGUCGAGUGACCCCGCGCCGAAAAUGUACCGGGGCUAAACAUAUUA